GGGGGUGAAAGGGUUCGACUUAGGUAAGUCGGAUAAAAGUAGCAUGCCGCGGAGGCAAGGUUGGCCGCGUUAACAAUCCUUGCAAAACAUAAACGCAAACUACAGAAAUGUAGGACUGUUGAGACCAUCUUUGGUCCCAGCAGGCGUUCCAGUCUUCGGGCUUAAUUAAGCCUGAAGCCUCUAUACGCCAGGUCUACGGGGCGUAAUAGAGCGGUUAGUAGACUAGUUGCGGUCUAUUAGCCUUUAGGGCCGCAGCGAAACUUAUAAAGGCUGCAUCCUGGCUAAUCCUGUUUAUCGGAGUUGCCAGGCUUAAGCAUAAAAGAUAAACUAAACAUGUAGCGACUUUUAUCUGAUUAUCUAAGGACGCGGCUUCAAUGCCGCCACCUCCACCA
Molecule: transfer-messenger RNA, 392 nt
Filed under: Candidatus Omnitrophota
Lineage: Bacteria; Pseudomonadati
Also listed under: 1 other name
Description: f Profunditerraquicolaceae X3 Standard tmRNA
Rfam family: transfer-messenger RNA
About the family: Bacterial tmRNA, also known as 10Sa RNA or SsrA, is named for its dual tRNA and mRNA-like properties.
Source: RNAcentral